GAUGAACGCUGGCGGCGUGCCUAACACAUGCAAGUCGAGCGGACAGACGAGGCUCUUGCUUGGCUGACGUGAGCGGCGGGCGGGUGAGUAACACGAGUAUACCCGACCUAUAAGACUGAGAUCACUACGGGAAAGCGGAUAUAACAUCGGAUAAGCUAUUGAACCGCGGGGUUCUUUAGAGAAUGACGGUUUUGCUGUCACUAAUAGAUGGUUCCGGGCCGCAUUAGCUAGUUGGUAGGGUAACGGCCUACCAAGGCUACGAUGCGUAGCCGACCUGAGAGGGUGAUAGGCCACACUGGAACGGAGACACGGUCCAGACUCCUACGGGAGGCAGCAGUAGGGAAUCUUCGGCAGUGGGCGAAAGCUUGACGGAGCGAGGCCGCGUGUGUGAUGAAGGUCUUCGGAUCGUAAAGCACUGUUAUUGGGGAAGAACCGAUGUGGAAUUAGACAUGGCCGUCUUGACGGUACCUAGUCAAAAAGCCCCGGCUAACUACGUG
RNAcentral lists this ribosomal RNA (497 nucleotides) under uncultured bacterium. RNAcentral describes it as "partial 16S ribosomal RNA". It matches the Rfam family "Bacterial small subunit ribosomal RNA", at positions 28 to 507 of the family's 1533-position model. The record is from RNAcentral.